CUCUGGAAGUCACCCUGACCAUAGAGAAUGGGUUUGAAAGGAAUCCUGAGGGCACUUCUAUGAUGCUAAAUCAGAGGGCCAGAGAAAUCAGCUGAAGCACUGGAACAGGCUGGUCCAUCCUGCAUCAGGCGCCGUCAUCGUGGAGUUCUUCUGGCAGCAGAGACUGCAGAGAGCUGAGAAAGGAUGAUCACACGUGUGACACAGCAUGGGAUGGAGCACAUUUAGCUGCUGGAUUCCCAAAUGGGGAGUGUGAGUUCCAUUAAUGCCUGAAGCAUCCCAGCAGUGCCUGCAUGCCCUUCACCUCCAGGUCAGCAGUAAUUGCUUUGCUGGGCUUGGCUGCACAGCAAAGCACACUGUGACAGUGAGCAGCACUUUUCUGGUGAGGAAAGCUCAGGCAUUUAACCAGCUGAGCACAAAUCUCCACUGGCAACUUGUGAAAUUUGCAUUUUCCCUCCCAUUCCGUGUCCAGGGAUACAGCACUGGGAUGCUGCAGAAGCCUCUUGUGGGUCACUGGGCACUCUGCAGUUAUAAAGCACUUUCUUCAGUCUGUCCAUUUAUUGUGCCAUCUUCAUCUUGAUGAAGCUUCAGCUUUCCAUAGUGAGCAUAAAAUAUUAAACUCAA
Molecule: non-coding RNA, 621 nt
Organism: Cyanistes caeruleus (blue tit)
Lineage: Eukaryota; Metazoa; Chordata; Aves; Passeriformes; Paridae
Source: RefSeq, a predicted model, not a curated record